This 253-nucleotide ribosomal RNA is filed under the name uncultured bacterium. RNAcentral describes it as "partial 16S ribosomal RNA". It matches the Rfam family "Bacterial small subunit ribosomal RNA", at positions 524 to 776 of the family's 1533-position model. The record is from RNAcentral.
GACGUAGGUGGCAAACGUUAUCCGGAAUUAUUGGGCGUAAAGGGUGCGUAGAUGGCCUGAUAAGUUAGCAGUGGGAAAUCGAGGCUCAACCUCGUGGAAGCUGGUAAUACUGUCAGGCUCGAGUGCAGGAGAGGUUAACGGAACUCCAUGUGGAGCGGUAAAAUGCGCAGAUAUCGGGAAGAACACCCGUGGCGAAGGCGGCACUCUGGGACGGUACUGACGCUGAGACGCGAAAGCGUGGGGAGCGAACAGG